Molecule: long non-coding RNA, 267 nt
Organism: Triticum dicoccoides
Lineage: Eukaryota; Viridiplantae; Streptophyta; Magnoliopsida; Poales; Poaceae
Exons: 3
Source: RefSeq, a predicted model, not a curated record
AGAAGGGAACAAAGUCAUUUGUAGCGGUUCAACAUGAAUUAAAUUGUGGCGAUAUCAGACUAUACAAGGAGUGUUACUCUAGUGAUAAGAAGGGAUGGGCAUCAGAAGAUGCCAGGAAUAAACAUGAAGAAAUGUUGCAGAAGCAAAAGGAACCUAUAGAGGAGGGUGAAGUACCUUUAACAGAGCAACAGAUUUGCGAGCAUGUGCUAGGUAAGGCAUAUGGUUACGUCAGAGGUCGGGGUCAUGGACCAAAACCAAAUAGAAGGG